CCAGACUCCUACGGGAGGCAGCAGUGGGGAAUAUUGCACAAUGGGGGAAACCCUGAUGCAGCGACGCCGCGUGAGCGAUGAAGUAUUUCGGUAUGUAAAGCUCUAUCAGCAGGGAAGAAAAUGACGGUACCUGACUAAGAAGCCCCGGCUAACUACGUGCCAGCAGCCGCGGUAAUACGUAGGGGGCAAGCGUUAUCCGGAUUUACUGGGUGUAAAGGGGGCGUAGACGGCUGUGCAAGCCAGAUGUGAAAGCCCGGGGCUCAACCCCGGGACUGCAUUUGGAACUGCGUGGCUCGAGUGCUGGAGAGGUAAGCGGAAUUCCUAGUGUAGCGGUGAAAUGCGUAGAUAUUAGGAGGAACACCAGUGGCGAAGGCGGCUUACUGGACAGUAACUGACGUUGAGGCUCGAAAGCGUGGGGAGCAAACAGGAUUAGAUACCCGCGUA
RNAcentral lists this ribosomal RNA (444 nucleotides) under uncultured bacterium. Its description in RNAcentral is "bacterial SSU rRNA". It matches the Rfam family "Bacterial small subunit ribosomal RNA", at positions 331 to 792 of the family's 1533-position model. The record is from RNAcentral.